Long non-coding RNA from Eucalyptus grandis, 766 nucleotides. RefSeq lists it as uncharacterized. The transcript is spliced from 2 exons. Lineage: Eukaryota; Viridiplantae; Streptophyta; Magnoliopsida; Myrtales; Myrtaceae. The record is from RefSeq and is a predicted model, not a curated record.
CUUGUGAAUGUCUAGUUAUUUUUCUCAAUAAAGUAUUGGAAGAUAUAUGUUAUUUGAUUUGUAGAAGAAAACAACCCGGGAGGAGUUUUGAUUGAUCAAUACACUACUUAUUUUUGUUGCAGUUGACAUCCAUGAGGGAAUCAUAUAUGCCUGAAUUGAAUAAGAUGAAGGAGGGAAUCUCGAUGAGGUUACGGCCGCAUGAGUCUCUUUCGCAACAGCUGAAGCCAAAGCGGAAGUCAAAGCGAAAGUCAAAGGAGCUUGAAAAAUUGAAAAAUUUUGAAGUGAUGUUGGGCCGCGUAAUUGCUAUGUUGCAAGUUAACAAAGCUGAUAUAGAGCCUACUUUCAAGGGGAAGCUGGUUCAAUACGACAAACAUCUUAUGAACUUUAUCAACACAAGUAGGCCCAGGAAUGUACCUAGGCAGCAAGGGCAACUUCCCCCUCCUCAUAUGCACUCAGGAUGAAGCACUGGACCCCAGAAUGACAAACAUGGAGCGUUUUUUUGAAAAAUAGUAUUUGAAAAAUAUGCAAUACUAUGUCCUUGUUCAGAACAGAGUUCCAUCUCUUGCUCCAGUUCCAUCUCUAGCUCCUAUUCCAGAUCUUGACCCAAACAAACCAUCCUUGUCCAAAUAACUUACUAUGUUUGCAUUAUUUCUCAAAGUUUGGAUUGUUUUGUCGUUUGGUUUGUAAUGCUUGUGGGUUGUUAUUUGAACUUAUUGGACUAACCUUCGUACUAUGGUUUGCUUAUAAUAUUAUGCUUUAUUUAGUA